GGUGGGGUGGCAGAGCGGUUGAAUGCGCCGGUCUUGAAAACCGGUAGGCCCUCCGGGGUCUCGCGGGUUCGAAUCCCGCCCCCACCG
This 87-nucleotide transfer RNA is filed under the name Phycisphaerae bacterium. Its description in RNAcentral is "tRNA-Ser". It matches the Rfam family "tRNA". Rfam says of the family: Transfer RNA (tRNA) molecules are approximately 80 nucleotides in length. Their secondary structure includes four short double-helical elements and three loops (D, anti-codon, and T loops). The record is from RNAcentral. RNAcentral also lists the same sequence under 1 other name. Lineage: Bacteria; Pseudomonadati; Planctomycetota; Phycisphaerae.